This 469-nucleotide ribosomal RNA is filed under the name uncultured bacterium. Its description in RNAcentral is "bacterial SSU rRNA". It matches the Rfam family "Bacterial small subunit ribosomal RNA", at positions 28 to 507 of the family's 1533-position model. The record is from RNAcentral.
GAUGAACGCUGGCGGCGUGCCUAAUACAUGCAAGUCGAACGGGGAGUAUUUACUUCGGUUUUUUACUCCUAGUGGCGAACGGGUGAGUAACGCGUUGGUGACCUGCCCCGAAGAGGGGGAUAAACUCCGCGAAAGCGGAGCUAAUACCCCAUGUGGUCCUUGAGGUUAGAGGCUUUGGGACUAAAGGAGCAAUCCACUUCGGGAGGGGCCUGCGUCCCAUCAGCUAGUUGGUAGGGUAACGGCCUACCAAGGCGAUGACGGGUAGGGGGCCUGAGAGGGUGGCCCCCCACACUGGCACUGAAACACGGGCCAGACACCUACGGGUGGCAGCAGUAGGGAAUAUUGCACAAUGGGCGAAAGCCUGAUGCAGCAACGCCGCGUGCGCGAAGAAGGCCUUCGGGUUGUAAAGCGCUUUUCUGGAGGAAGAGGAAGGACGGUACUCCAGGAAUAAGGAUCGGCUAACUACGUG